This 478-nucleotide ribosomal RNA is filed under the name uncultured bacterium. Its description in RNAcentral is "partial 16S ribosomal RNA". It matches the Rfam family "Bacterial small subunit ribosomal RNA", at positions 28 to 523 of the family's 1533-position model. The record is from RNAcentral.
GACGAACGCUGGCGGCGUGCUUAACACAUGCAAGUCGAACGGUAAGGCCCUUCGGGGUACACGAGUGGCGAACGGGUGAGUAACACGUGGGUGAUCUGCCCUGCACUUCGGGAUAAGCCUGGGAAACUGGGUCUAAUACCGGAUAGGACCACUGCCUGCAUGGGUGGUGGUGGAAAGCUUUUGCGGUGUGGGAUGGGCCCGCGGCCUAUCAGCUUGUUGGUGGGGUGAUGGCCUACCAAGGCGACGACGGGUAGCCGGCCUGGGAGGGUGACCGGCCACACGGGGACUGAGAUACGGCCCAGACGCCUACGGGAGGCAGCAGUGGGGAAUAUUGCACAAUGGGCGCAAGGCUGAUGCAGCGACGCCGCGUGAGGGAUGACGGCCUUCGGGUUGUAAACCUCUUUCAGCACCGACGAAGCGCAAGUGACGGUAGGUGCAGAAGAAGGACCGGCCAACUACGUGCCAGCCGCCGCGGUAA